RNAcentral lists this transfer RNA (73 nucleotides) under Candidatus Woesearchaeota archaeon. Its description in RNAcentral is "tRNA-Met". It matches the Rfam family "tRNA". From Rfam's summary of the family: Transfer RNA (tRNA) molecules are approximately 80 nucleotides in length. Their secondary structure includes four short double-helical elements and three loops (D, anti-codon, and T loops). Lineage: Archaea; Nanobdellati; Candidatus Woesearchaeota. The record is from RNAcentral.
GCCUCUGUAGCUUAGCUGGUAAAGCACGAGUUUCAUGAGCUCGGGAUCGAGGGUUCAAAUCCCUUCAGAGGCA